GCCCUCCGCUCCUGUGCUGGGCCCUGGCGGCCCCUCCCGUUCCUGCGGUCUCCCCUGCCCUCUGCUCCUGCGCGGGGCCCCGGCGGCCCUCCGGUGGCUGCGGCCUCCCCUCCGCUCCCUGUUGCACUGGUUCCCCAGGCGCCCCUUGGGUUCCAGGUGCUGGGCUGAGCUCCGAACACCGACGGUAAAGCAAAAUCAGAACAGUCUCUACGGUCGCAGAGCUCAGUCUCCUCGGACGGAUGGACACCAAUCAGACCAACGCACAUGAGGUCACCGCGACCUGCGUGCCACUGUAGGUGACAACCUGCGGCCUAACGCGGUGGCCUGAACCGGCCCUUCGGCUGACUCGGCACCACGAGGGGGCUCUGCUCUGCUCCGAAGGGCUCUCCUACAGCCUCCCGGCCAUCUGGGGGUCAGCCGGUGGCUGGGUGGUAGAAUGGCCUCGCUGGCAAGUGUCGGGGUGGGAAGGCUGUCAACACGCCAGUGAGCUCUUGCACACUACCACACGGGCAGUAAGCAAAGUGCAUGGUGCCAGGGUCGCCCCUUCUUGAUACAGAAGUCUGCUUUGAACUACUUGGGGGAAAGUAUUUCAUUGAGAAAGUGACAUUUGAGCUGAGGCCUCAGGACUGGGGAGGGGUUGACUGGGUGUGGGAGGAGGGACGGUAGAGGCAGAUUCCCUCCCUCCCACUCCUGCCCGUUCAGUUUCCCCUAACCUCCACAUCCCCUGCCUCCAUUCCCUCCAUCUCUCCUGCAUCCCUAAUCCCAGCCACUGCCGUCCUUCACCUUCACGGCAGCCCCCCUUAUUGGGUUCUCCGCACCCACAGUUGAACAUUGCCAUGCAGAACAUGGAGAGCAGAUCCUGCCAGCCUUUCAAAGCCUCUGCCCCAUCAUCUGAAUGUUUAUGUCUCCCCCAAAAUCAGAUGCUGAAUGCCUAAGCCCAAAGAUUUUAUUUAUUCAUGAGAGAUGCAGAGAGAGGCAGAGACACAGGCAGAGGGAGAAGCAGGCUCCCUACGAGGAGCCCAAUGUGGGACUCGAUCCCGGGACUCCAGGGUCACACCCUGAGCCAAAGUCAGAUGCUCAACCGCUGAGCCACUCAAGUGCCUCAGACUUUUAAAUCUUUAAGCAAAGGCCUCAUGUAAAAUUUUUGAACGAAUAUGUAUUGUACUCUUCCAGCCUCCACUGAACAUACGGAAUGAAUAUGUUCUAGGAACCAUU
Molecule: long non-coding RNA, 1215 nt
Organism: Canis lupus familiaris (dog)
Lineage: Eukaryota; Metazoa; Chordata; Mammalia; Carnivora; Canidae
Exons: 2
Source: RefSeq, a predicted model, not a curated record